AUGCUUAGGCUUAGGCUUAGUCUUAGGCUUAGUCUAAGUCCUAGGCUUGGGAUUCGGCUUCGGCUGAGGCUGAGGC
Caenorhabditis elegans is the source of this 76-nucleotide non-coding RNA. The record is from Ensembl. Lineage: Eukaryota; Metazoa; Nematoda; Chromadorea; Rhabditida; Rhabditidae.